This 376-nucleotide unclassified non-coding RNA is filed under the name soil metagenome. Its description in RNAcentral is "partial contains 5.8S ribosomal RNA, internal transcribed spacer 2, and large subunit ribosomal RNA". The stretch from base 1 to 120 matches the Rfam family "5.8S ribosomal RNA", at positions 35 to 154 of the family's 154-position model. The record is from RNAcentral.
GAUGAAGAACGUAGCGAAAUGCGAUAAGUAAUGUGAAUUGCAGAAUUCAGUGAAUCAUCGAAUCUUUGAACGCAUCUUGCGCUCCUUGGUAUUCUGAGGAGCAUGCCUGUUUGAGUGUCAUUAAAUUCUCAACUACACUGACUUUGAAUUGGUGUGGCUUGGAUUUGGGGGGAAAAUUGUUGUGGGCUUUUUGUAUAGUCUGCUCCCCUGAAAUUGAUUAGCGGUACCUUUGUGGAACUGUCUACAGGUGUGAUAAUUAUCUACAUCUUUGACAUCUGCUGGAAUGCUGCUUUCUAAACCUUACUUGUAUUGACAAUCUUGACCUCAAAUCAGGUAGGACUACCCGCUGAACUUAAGCAUAUCAAUAAGCGGAGGA